UUCCGCUCUCCUCUGUACAGAUUCCUUAUCCUUCCCCUUCCGUCCUGUGUGAAGUGAGCUCGAGCUGGAAAAGAACUCAAGCGGCGGAAGCUGAGCGGAGACCUCUGGUUGUGCCGUCUUGGUCCCGUUCCUCCGGCCUCCGGUCUCUGCUCCUCCCACGCCGGCGUGUUUUCCCCUUGCUACUCAUACUGGCUGUAGCCUGGAUGGUCUCGGCGGAAAGCAGCGCGUGAAUCGGGAGGAGGUGCCUAGCGGGGCUAGCGCUGGUCUCACUCCCCGCGGCGGCGAGGUGGAGGAUACCACGGCGGCUAGGCGCAGCGUCGGCGAGGCGGCCAUGCCUGCGGAGGCGAGGCGCCGGACUCAGAAAGUACCAUAGAGACUAUAAGGAGGACCUCGUCGCUUACCUCAUCUGCUGGUGCAAGCUCAAGGAGAAACAGAGGUGUUUCUAUAAAUUUUGCAAAGUGUUCCUGUACAUCUAGGCUGAUGGCAUACCUGAUGAAGCACAUAUGAAGGGGAUGACAGGAUUGGAAGAAUUACCACAAUCUGUUCAAAAGCAAUUGCGAAGCAACUAUUAUGAUCCAUCAGGAAAAAACAGUCAGAUUUCUUACUGUGCUUGCGUGAGACCCAUGGCCAUCAUCAUGCCAUUCAUUACUAGAAGAAGCCAUCAGCUACUUGUGUUGAUUGCUGCACUAUUCAAUUGGUUCCUUCACGGUUCAAUCGGAGGAUUAUUCAACUAGAGGAUAAUUUUCCUGUGCU
Long non-coding RNA from Lolium rigidum, 753 nucleotides. RefSeq lists it as uncharacterized. Lineage: Eukaryota; Viridiplantae; Streptophyta; Magnoliopsida; Poales; Poaceae. The record is from RefSeq and is a predicted model, not a curated record. The transcript is spliced from 2 exons.